CCCUUAGAUGUUCUGGGCCGCACGCGCGCUACACUGACGAAUGCAACGAGCUUAUAACCUUGGCCGAAAGGUCUGGGUAAUCUCCAAAUUUCGUCGUGAUGGGGAUAGGUUAUUGCAAUUAUUAAUCUUCAACGAGGAAUGCCUAGUAAGCGCAAGUCAUCAGCUUGCGUUGAUUACGUCCCUGCCCUUUGUACACACCGCCCGUCGCUCCUACCGAUUGAAUGGUCCGGUGAAGCGCUCGGACCGCGGCCUCUUGACGGUUCGCUGUCGAUUGGCUGUGGGAAGUUCGUUAAACCUUAUCAUUUAGAGGAAGGAGAAGUCGUAACA
This 327-nucleotide ribosomal RNA is filed under the name uncultured eukaryote. RNAcentral describes it as "partial 18S ribosomal RNA". It matches the Rfam family "Eukaryotic small subunit ribosomal RNA", at positions 1470 to 1796 of the family's 1831-position model. The record is from RNAcentral.